RNAcentral lists this ribosomal RNA (1365 nucleotides) under uncultured beta proteobacterium. RNAcentral describes it as "16S ribosomal RNA". It matches the Rfam family "Bacterial small subunit ribosomal RNA", at positions 30 to 1393 of the family's 1533-position model. The record is from RNAcentral. Lineage: Bacteria; Pseudomonadati; Pseudomonadota; Betaproteobacteria.
UGAACGCUGGCGGCAUGCCUUACACAUGCAAGUCGAACGGCAGCACGGGUGCUUGCACCUGGUGGCGAGUGGCGAACGGGUGAGUAAUACAUCGGAACAUGUCCUGUAGUGGGGGAUAGCCCGGCGAAAGCCGGAUUAAUACCGCAUACGAUCUACGGAUGAAAGCGGGGGACCUUCGGGCCUCGCGCUAUAGGGUUGGCCGAUGGCUGAUUAGCUAGUUGGUGGGGUAAAGGCCUACCAAGGCGACGAUCAGUAGCUGGUCUGAGAGGACGACCAGCCACACUGGGACUGAGACACGGCCCAGACUCCUACGGGAGGCAGCAGUGGGGAAUUUUGGACAAUGGGCGAAAGCCUGAUCCAGCAAUGCCGCGUGUGUGAAGAAGGCCUUCGGGUUGUAAAGCACUUUUGUCCGGAAAGAAAUCCUUGGCUCUAAUACAGUCGGGGGAUGACGGUACCGGAAGAAUAAGCACCGGCUAACUACGUGCCAGCAGCCGCGGUAAUACGUAGGGUGCGAGCGUUAAUCGGAAUUACUGGGCGUAAAGCGUGCGCAGGCGGUUUGCUAAGACCGAUGUGAAAUCCCCGGGCUCAACCUGGGAACUGCAUUGGUGACUGGCAGGCUAGAGUAUGGCAGAGGGGGGUAGAAUUCCACGUGUAGCAGUGAAAUGCGUAGAGAUGUGGAGGAAUACCGAUGGCGAAGGCAGCCCCCUGGGCCAAUACUGACGCUCAUGCACGAAAGCGUGGGGGAGCAAACAGGAUUAGAUACCCUGGUAGUCCACGCCCUAAACGAUGUCAACUAGUUGUUGGGGAUUCAUUUCCUUAGUAACGUAGCUAACGCGUGAAGUUGACCGCCUGGGGAGUACGGUCGCAAGAUUAAAACUCAAAGGAAUUGACGGGGACCCGCACAAGCGGUGGAUGAUGUGGAUUAAUUCGAUGCAACGCGAAAAACCUUACCUACCCUUGACAUGGUCGGAAUCCCGCUGAGAGGUGGGAGUGCUCGAAAGAGAACCGGCGCACAGGUGCUGCAUGGCUGUCGUCAGCUCGUGUCGUGAGAUGUUGGGUUAAGUCCCGCAACGAGCGCAACCCUUGUCCUUAGUUGCUACGCAAGAGCACUCUAAGGAGACUGCCGGUGACAAACCGGAGGAAGGUGGGGAUGACGUCAAGUCCUCAUGGCCCUUAUGGGUAGGGCUUCACACGUCAUACAAUGGUCGGAACAGAGGGUUGCCAACCCGCGAGGGGGAGCUAAUCCCAGAAAACCGAUCGUAGUCCGGAUUGCACUCUGCAACUCGAGUGCAUGAAGCUGGAAUCGCUAGUAAUCGCGGAUCAGCAUGCCGCGGUGAAUACGUUCCCGGGUCUUGUACACACCGC